This 1693-nucleotide long non-coding RNA is filed under the name Mus spicilegus (steppe mouse). Its description in RNAcentral is "lncRNA (ENSMSIG00000011997.1)". Lineage: Eukaryota; Metazoa; Chordata; Mammalia; Rodentia; Muridae. The record is from RNAcentral.
CACCGCCCCUUCCGCCGCCGCAGCCGCCGCGUCCUCCCGCCCGCCGGUAGCCGCGGCUCUGGCACGGACCGCCGCUGAUGCUCCCCCGGGCUGCACGGAUCCUCUGGACUCCUCUCGCUUCUUUUUUCUUUUCUUUUUUUAAGUUCUAAACUCGCAGUACUUGGGGGCGAGCCGGCGAGAUCUCGCGAGAUGCUGCAGGGCCUGUGGGCGGUUUCCCUUAGGGCGCGUGGUACCCAGGCCCCGCGGCGCUCUGGCUGCGGGUGAUGCUGGGGGCUUUCCUGUUGGGCCCGCGCGCGCUUCCGGAGGCGCUGGCCCACGCGCGCUCCCGGCGAGCCCGGCUCGCUCCCGACCGGGCUCUCCCAGCGGGAGAGCUCCGUGCUCCCGUUUGAGAUUUGCAUAACCAAAGAGUAAUUCCAGCCGCGAUGCGGUGGGUGUGUCAACCCUUGGGUGGCGCCUUUAUUUUAAAAGCUGGUGUUAGAAGGACUACUAGGUGCUCACUCUAAAGACUGAGGCAGAAGGAUCUUGAGUUCCAGAACAACCUGACCAAUACAGCGAGACCUUCACAUAACAAAACAGAGCUUCAUGGGUACUAAUACACCAUGGUUUCUGAAGAUGGCUCUUCCUCAUCCUGGGACGACUUGAUCAGCAAAAGAUAUUUUCAUUUUCAGAUCUUAGAACUAAUGGUCAAGAAAGAAAGAAAGAAAGAAAGAAAGAGAGAGAGAGAGAGAGAAAGAAAGAAAGAGAAAAAAGAAAUAAAAAACAAAAACGAAGAAUAAAAAAAGAUGAAAGAAAAGAAAGAAAGAAAUAGAAAGAAAGAAAGAAAGAAAGAAAGAAAGAAAGAAAGAAAGAAAGAAAGAAAGAAAGAAAGAAAGAAAGAACUAAUGGUCUAAGGAUAUGCUUUCUGGAGUUUAUUAGCCUUACUCCCAUCCCUAGGUGGUACACAUCUGUAGUCCCAGCUAUUCAGGGGAAGUGGGAUCCUCAGAGUUCAAGGCUAUUCAGGACAAGAGAGAGAGACUUGGUCUCAGGAACUAUGCCUCUUGCAAAGAAUAGCCUUUAGCAAUUAUUUAUGCAUCUUCUGAAUUGCCUGCUGAUGCCUGUAAUAGACAUUUGCUAUGUCCUGAAAGUCUGGCUUCAAUCCUGUUUUCUAAUUUUUUUUUUUUUUUUUUUUUUUUUUUUUUUUUGGCUUUUCAUGGUAGGGUUUCUCUGUGUAGCCGUGGCAGUCCUGGAAUUCACUCUGUAGACCAGGUUGGCCUCGAACUCAGAAAUCCACCUGCUUCUGCCUCCCAAGUGCUGGAAUUAAAGGUGUGAGCCACCACGCCCGGAGUUUCUAAUCCAUCCUGUUUUCAUGUAAAUUUAUAAAUGCUUCUUUAGUUCUUAUUCUUGUUUAUUUGCUUUUGUUCCCCACUUAUUCAGUGGGGUGGAUGAUUACCUCUGUGUAUAGUUUUGGACGAACAGAAAUUAAAACCCUGCCCCAUCCAAAUGGUGAGCACAUCACCAAAAUGUGCCAACCUCUUUGUCAUGUUUUGAAGUCUGGGUGGGUGGUAGGAUGCAAAAAUAAGACAAUAAGUCAAUUUGCUGUAACUGUUACCUCUUCCUAACUUACCAUCUCCUUGAUUGAGAACUGCUGUGCUUGGGGUGGUCCAAUGUGGGCAACUGGCUAGCUGAGAGAGAAUACAAAGACCUUGGCUGCCUG